ACUCCUACGGGAGGCAGCAGUAGGGAAUCUUCCACAAUGGACGAAAGUCUGAUGGAGCAACGCCGCGUGAGUGAUGAAGGUUUUCGGAUCGUAAAACUCUGUUGUAAGGGAAGAACACGUACGAGAGGGAAUGCUCGUACCUUGACGGUACCUUACGAGAAAGCCACGGCUAACUACGUGCCAGCAGCCGCGGUAAU
Molecule: ribosomal RNA, 197 nt
Filed under: uncultured bacterium
Lineage: Bacteria
Description: partial 16S ribosomal RNA
Rfam family: Bacterial small subunit ribosomal RNA
Source: RNAcentral